UUAAUUGAAGAGUUUGAUCAUGGCUCAGAUUGAACGCUGGCGGCAGGCCUAACACAUGCAAGUCGAGCGGAAACGAAGAGGUGCUUGCACCUCUGGCGUCGAGCGGCGGACGGGUGAGUAAUGCUUGGGAAUAUGCCUUAUGGUGGGGGACAACAGUUGGAAACGACUGCUAAUACCGCAUGAUGUCUACGGACCAAAGUGGGGGACCUUCGGGCCUCACGCCAUAAGAUUAGCCCAAGUGGGAGUAGCUAGUUGGUGAGGUAAUGGCUCACCAAGGCGACGAGCCCUAGCUGGUUUGAGAGGAUGAUCGGCCCCACGGGGUCUGCGCCACGGCCCCGACUCCUACGG
RNAcentral lists this ribosomal RNA (348 nucleotides) under Pseudoalteromonas sp. S4491. RNAcentral describes it as "bacterial SSU rRNA". It matches the Rfam family "Bacterial small subunit ribosomal RNA", at positions 1 to 344 of the family's 1533-position model. Lineage: Bacteria; Pseudomonadati; Pseudomonadota; Gammaproteobacteria; Alteromonadales; Pseudoalteromonadaceae. The record is from RNAcentral.